RNAcentral lists this long non-coding RNA (248 nucleotides) under Carica papaya (papaya). RNAcentral's name for it is "long non-coding RNA (CPAP_LNC001131)". Lineage: Eukaryota; Viridiplantae; Streptophyta; Magnoliopsida; Brassicales; Caricaceae. The record is from RNAcentral.
UCAAUUUUUAUUAUUUUUUAAUUUGUUUCAUCUUGUAAUUGAAUGAAAUACAAAUUUACUUACAUUUUGUUUUGAUUUGAUAAUUGAUACAUGCCUAAUAAAAGUAACUACAGUUAUUUAAGUUUUCUUAUCAUCAGAUCUUUUUGAGAAAUACACACACAAACACACAGAUAUAUGUGUGUGUGUUUGUUUGUGCGUUUUAUAAAUUUAAAGAGCUAUUGCAACUUGAUGUAAUGGUAAAUCACUAU